This is a non-coding RNA of Lentinula guzmanii, 89 nucleotides long. The record is from the annotation of a GenBank genome assembly. NCBI's taxonomy places the organism in Eukaryota, Fungi, Basidiomycota, Agaricomycetes, Agaricales, Omphalotaceae.
UCCAAUGUGGUGUAGUGGUCAACAUUGCUGUCUUUCAUGACAUUGUCUACGUAACACAGCAGCCCGGGGUUCGAUUCCCCGCAUUGGAA